AUGCUAGCAGUUUAUCGUGCACUGAAGCACUUCCUCCCAGACCUAAAGGGUCACCAUGUGUUGGUGCGCACCGACAACACCUCUGGGACUGGACGCUAUGGUACAGACCUGGCCGAGGCUUCGUCUGUACGCCUUUCCCCCUAUUUCUCUGCUCCCGGGAGUUCUGGCGAGAGUAUGCCGGGACGGGGUCCGUCUGUUAUUAGUAGCCCCGUUCUGGCCGGGCCGACUAUGGUUCGCAGAUUUGGUCUCGCUCCUCGACGGCUCUCCGUGGGAGAUACCGAUCAGGACAGACCUACUCUCACAAGUGCAGGGCACGAUAAUUCACCCUCGCCCGGAGUUGUGGAAGCUGUGGGUGUGGCCCCUGAGGGGGCACAACUAUUAGCAUCCGGUCUCUCAACCAAGGUUGUUGAGACCCUCCUCCAAUCCAGAGCUCCCUCAACAAGAAAACUGUACGCCCUGAGGUGGAAACUCUUCACCUCAUGGUGCAGAGACCGCCAGCUAGACCCAGCAAACUGCCCAGUUGGUACAGUUCUGGAGUUCCUACAGGCCAGGCUCUCUGCAGGGUUGACCCACUCCAUGUUGAAGGUCUACGUGGUGGCCAUUGCGGCCUACCACGCCCUUCUCGAUGGUCAGUCUUUGGGAAGACACCCCUUAGUUACACGUUUCCUCCGCGGUGCGCUGAGGCUGAGACCUCCAGUACGGUCCCGUAUCCCCCCGUGGGACUUGGUUGUGGUGUUAGAGGUGUUGUGCAAACCUCCGUUUGAGCCUAUUCAAGAUAUUUCAGACAGACAUUUGAUGCUUAAAACCGCCUUUCUGUUGGCCAUUACCUCUCUGAGGAGAGUAGGAGAUUUGCAGGCCCUCUCAGUGGCCCCUACCUAUCUUGAUUUUGCACCUGGCAUGACCAAAGCGUUCAUAUACCCUCGAGCGGGAUAUAUUCCUAAGGUCCCCUCUGUCACACCACAACCUGUAGUGCUGCAGGCCUUCUGUCCUCCUCCCUUUCGGGAGCCCGACCAAGCGAAGCUAAAUGGACGCAUACGUCCACAGAGCUGCCCUGUGGAGAAAAACAGACCAAUUGCUUGUAUGCUAUGGUCCCCCCAAGAGGGGCUCUCCUGCUUCUAAGCAGACUAUUAGUCGUUGGAUAGUCGAGGCUAUCAAUGCCACCUAUGAGUCCUCUGGUCUUCCCCCGCUGCUGGGAGCCAAGGCUCACUCCACACGGGGUAUGGCGGCCUCCAAGGCCUUCUUAGCAGGUGUUUCCAUGCUGGACAUCUGCAACGCUGCGGGGUGGUCCACGCCCUCUACAUUUGCAAAAUUUUAUGGCUUAGACAUGCCAGUCACUCCAGGCGCUUCUGUCCUCUCGUCCUAAGCUGUGCUCUUUGGAUACACACUAGGCAGGGGUUUGGUAGUCUGGCAGGGUUGGUACUCGUUCCCCAAAGCGUUCGACGCAGCUCGAGUUCCUGAAGAGGAACGUCUCUAGGUUACGUAUGUAACCCUAGUUCCUCGAGGGAAUGAGACGCUGCGUCGAACGCUUUGGAGCCAUACCCCCGGCACCCCUGCCGGCGCUUGCUGGUACUCGAAGCUAACGCCAGCUGUGCGGCACGUGCUUUUAUAGCUUCCUGGUCGCUUACGUCACCCCACCCGUGACGUCACGCUCUUCCAUUGGACUGAUUACACACGAUAUUCAGAGUCGCUCACGCUAGACGCGUUCCCCAAAGCGUUCGAUGCAGCGUCUCGUUCCC
This is a long non-coding RNA of Cyprinus carpio carpio, 1736 nucleotides long. Lineage: Eukaryota; Metazoa; Chordata; Actinopteri; Cypriniformes; Cyprinidae. The record is from Ensembl.